GGGUGGGGAUUUGUUGCAUUACUUGUAGCUGUAUGUAGAGUAUUGCACUUGUCCCGGCCUGU
RNAcentral lists this microRNA precursor (62 nucleotides) under Columba livia (rock pigeon). RNAcentral describes it as "Cli-Mir-92-P1c_pre stem-loop". It matches the Rfam family "mir-92 microRNA precursor family", at positions 11 to 71 of the family's 80-position model. Rfam says of the family: This family represents the microRNA precursor mir-92. Human miR-92 has two predicted hairpin precursor sequences: mir-92-1 on chromosome 13 and mir-92-2 on chromosome X. miR-92 has also been cloned from mouse embryonic stem cells. The record is from RNAcentral. RNAcentral also lists the same sequence under 1 other name. Lineage: Eukaryota; Metazoa; Chordata; Aves; Columbiformes; Columbidae.